AUUCUUGUUGGACUGAGAUGAUUUGAAGGGUGGGAUAGGYUAAGUGCCCCCCACCUGGCAUGAAUUUCUGAUCUCAUGGGAUAGGUUGAAGUGAGGCUAGAAUUAUCCGGAAAUGUGAGGGCUGUAAUGCUCCUUCUAUCUUCCCCAUGGUAGAAGAAAAAACAGAAGUAGAGUUUGGAGCAUAUUCUUGUGUUCUCAGUACUCUGUAGAGGUUAACAGCAAAAACAAAGGGAAGGAGAGUUCUAGUGUAGCUAGCUGAGCACCUUACCAAGCAGGGUGGCACUUUGGCAGGUGGCAAAGCUAUGAUGAAGGAGGUAGAAGAGCUCACUAGCACUGCCUUUGGAUAGUCUGGGUGAUGCGAAGAAGCAAGAGACUUUUUAAAAGGAGAAAAAAAAGAAGUUUGGUCACAACCUCAUGAUGUGAAGGACUGUGAAUGAUUUUUAMAUGAUCUGGUUACUUUUUUUUCUUUUUUUCUUUCUUUUUCUUUCAAAUAGCAGGUUGCUGCUUUGAAAUUCUGAGCCCAUCCURCUCCCGCUGGUGUCACAGGAAACAGAGGGUUGGUUCAGCGCUUGGCAGUUGGGCGCUGAAGUCCUGAGUCCCUAACUGUGAAGCUCUGUACCCUCUCUGUUCCUACUGAUAUUGCCUGUCAGUACUGGGUCUGCAGUGAUACCAGCACCCUUCUGUUACUACGUUGUUUGGAUAUGAGAUGACUUAGCAUGGAAUGCAGCAGUUCUGAGAUGAUACAUUCCAGCAGGAGGAAUUUACCCUCGUUGCAUUUUAAGGUAAGAGCAGAAUCUUUUUACAAAGGCUUGUAGAAGG
This 819-nucleotide long non-coding RNA is filed under the name Dromaius novaehollandiae (emu). Its description in RNAcentral is "lncRNA (ENSDNVG00000006390.1)". The record is from RNAcentral. Lineage: Eukaryota; Metazoa; Chordata; Aves; Casuariiformes; Dromaiidae.